GCUAACUCUUAAGUGAGAGGAAAAGCAAAGGUAAUAAAGAGUGCAUUAUUUGAUUUUCCAUUGCAGAAGUCAGUCUGUGCAAAAUUCUGCUUGCAAAGAGAUCAUCCUUCCUACUUAACUUGUAGGAGAUCAUUUAGAAGGUUUGCUGGACUUGGCCGCAUGGAUCCUUCAGCUCCCAAGUACUUUCAGAGAACAGUCUCACCCAAGAAGAGUUUCCACUCCACCCGAAAAGCCUCUCGCCCAGCCUCUCCCCUGGCCUCGGGUUACCAUGCCAUGGCCCUAGAGGGCUCAGGUUCUCUCACUGGACUCUCUUCGUGUUGACACUUCUUCCACUUUACCAAGUAGCCAGAAUUCCCACUCAGGAAGAAUGCUUUGGCACUGGAAGAAAGGGGGACAAUGGAUCUAUUGUUCUUUUGGCCUUCUUGAAUAGGGCAAAUGUCUCCUCCUUCUAGCCUUAUCACCAACGAAGGCUGAAUAUGGAGCCCUAGGAGACUCAUCCUCCUCCUACCCGUGCUUUGUUCUUUGGAAGAGGGUUUUUGUGUACCUUCCCCACCCUGGCCCCAUCAAACCUGUUUUGGGACUCGAAUAGACAGUUGCCU
RNAcentral lists this long non-coding RNA (599 nucleotides) under Felis catus (domestic cat). RNAcentral describes it as "lncRNA (ENSFCAG00000053842.1)". Lineage: Eukaryota; Metazoa; Chordata; Mammalia; Carnivora; Felidae. The record is from RNAcentral.